This 484-nucleotide ribosomal RNA is filed under the name uncultured bacterium. Its description in RNAcentral is "partial 16S ribosomal RNA". It matches the Rfam family "Bacterial small subunit ribosomal RNA", at positions 28 to 507 of the family's 1533-position model. The record is from RNAcentral.
GACGAACGCUGGCGGCGUGCUUAACACAUGCAAGUCGAACGGAAAGGCCCAGCUUGCUGGGUGCUCGAGUGGCGAACGGGUGAGUAACACGUGGGUGAUCUGCCCCUAUAUUCGGGUUAAGCAUGUGAAACUGGGUCUAAUAACGGACAGGACAUUUGUUUAGUGUCGGGUGUGGAAAGUUUUUGCGGUUAGGGAUGAGCCCGCGACCUAUCAGCUUGUCGGUGAGGUAACGGCGUAACAAGGCGACGACGGGUAGCCGACCUGAGUGGGUGGUCGGCCACACUGGAAGUGAGACACGGUCCAGAGGCCUACGGGAGGCAGCAGUAGGGAAUCUGCCGCAAUGGGCGAAAGGCUGGCGGAGCAACGCCGCGUGAGUGAUGAAGGUCUUCGGAUAGUAAAACUCUGUUAUUAGGGAAGAACAAAUGUGUAAGUAACUAUGCACGUCUUGACGGUACCUAAUCAGAAAGCCACGGCUAACUACGUG